CAAAUAUCCUCGUACGUGACCUGCGGAGGAUCAUUACCGAGUUAGGGUCGCCCCGCGCGCCCGACCUCCAACCCUUUGUCUACCCGACCUUUUUGUUGCUUCGGCAGGCCCGCCGCCCCCUCGUGGGGUGGCCGCCGGGGGUUUAACCGCCCCGGGCCCGCGCCUGUCGAUGGCCCCAACCACAAACUCUUGUACCUAAACGUGUCAUCUGAGUUAACAAACAAAAUAAAUUAAAACUUUCAACAACGGAUCUCUUGGUUCUGGCAUCGAUGAAGAACGCAGCGAAAUGCGAUAAGUAAUGCGAAUUGCAGAAUCCGUGAGUCAUCGAAUCUUUGAACGCACAUUGCGCCCUCUGGUAUUCCGGAGGGCAUGCCUGUUCGAGCGUCUUUAUCACCCCUCAAGCCCGGCUUGUUGUUGGACGCGGCGGCGCCUUUGCGCCCCGCCCGUCUCAAAGAUAAUGACGGCGUCUGCGAGGACCCCUGUACACUGAGCUUUCGGGCACGUACUAGGUGUGGAAUCCAGACCCGGUCAUCGUCCCCCAGGGACAAAACUUUUAACCAGGUUGACCUCGGAUCAGGUAGGAAUACCCGCUGAACUUAAGCAUAUCAAUAAGCGGAGGAA
Molecule: ribosomal RNA, 621 nt
Filed under: Cyphellophora artocarpi
Lineage: Eukaryota; Fungi; Ascomycota; Eurotiomycetes; Chaetothyriales; Cyphellophoraceae
Description: eukaryotic LSU rRNA
Rfam family: 5.8S ribosomal RNA (bases 235-387)
Source: RNAcentral